AGUGAACGCUGGCGGUAGGCCUAACACAUGCAAGUCGAACGGCAGCGCGGUAUGAGCUUGGUCUGAGGGGGGGGGAGUGGUGGGCGGGGGAGGGGUGCGUGGGCAUCUGUGUGUUCGUGGGGGGUGACGUCGGGAUACUUACCGUAAUAGCGCUUAGGACGUACGGGUGGAAGCGGAGGGCCUUCGGAUAUUGGGGGGGUGGAUGUCGGGAUGUCGGAUUAGCUAGUUGGCGGGGUAAAGGCGCACCAAGGCGACGAUCCGUAGCUGGUCUGAGAGGAUGACCAGCCACACUGGAACUGAGACACGGUCCAGACUCCUACGGGAGGCAGCAGUGGGGAAUAUUGGGCAAUGGGCGCAAGCCUGAUCCAGCCAUACCGCGUGGGUGAAGAAGGCCUUCGGGUUGUAAAGCCCUUUUGUUGGGAAAGAAAAGCAGCAGGUUAAUACCCCGGUGUUCUGGCGGUACCCAGAGAAUAAGCACCGGCUAACUUCGUG
Molecule: ribosomal RNA, 492 nt
Filed under: uncultured bacterium
Lineage: Bacteria
Description: partial 16S ribosomal RNA
Rfam family: Bacterial small subunit ribosomal RNA
Source: RNAcentral